CAGUCGCCGCGGUAAUACGAAGGGGGCUAGCGUUGUUCGGAAUUACUGGGCGUAAAGGGCGCGUAGGCGGCCAUUCAAGUUAGAUGUGAAAGCCCUGGGCUCAACCUAGGAAUUGCGCUUGAUACUGGUACGCUUGAAUCCAGGAGAGGUUGGUGGAAUUCCCAGUGUAGAGGUGAAAUUCGUAGAUAUUGGGAAGAACACCGGUGGCGAAGGCGGCGACCUGGUCCUUGACUGACGCUGAGGCGCGAAAGCGUGGGGAGCAAACAGGAUUAGAUACCCCCGUAGUCCCUGUCUCUUAUAC
Molecule: ribosomal RNA, 301 nt
Filed under: uncultured bacterium
Lineage: Bacteria
Description: partial 16S ribosomal RNA
Rfam family: Bacterial small subunit ribosomal RNA
Source: RNAcentral